UUUUCUAAACUUUCUGAUCUUCUUCAGCUCUGAACUCUUUAGAAGAACUGAAGGAUGAAAAACAAGAACUUUGUCUUUAAACUCAACUCUUUUUUCUGGAUUCAGGUUGGAGCGCUGCGGUUUGUCAGAGACCAGCUGUGCUGCUCUGGUCUCAGCUAUGAAGUCCAACACGUCCAACCUGACAGAACUGGACCUGAGCUACAACAACCUUCAGUCUUCAGAUGUUCAGCAGCUCCAGGAUCUGGUGGAGAGUCCAAACUCCAAACUGCAGACUCUGAGGUGGGGCUGGUGAGUCUGAUGUUCCUCCUGGAGGAGCAGAGAGGAGCAGCAGCAGCAGCUGGUCUGCAGAGAUGUUGUGACUGGACGGUGUUCCUGGAAGGUGGAGAGCAGAGUGAUGGAGGAAUCAGAGGAAGUGGAGAUGAGUGUCAGAGCUGCAGCAUGAACUGAUCUGAGAUCAGCUCCACUGUCUCUCUCAGAAUAAAGUGGACACUUAUUGUCCUGCAGCUCCCCCGGUGGACUGAUGGAGAACUGCACUUCCUCUUCUUUUUUUCUGUUUCUUUUUAAACUUGUUCUAUCCAACAACUAACCAAACAGUAUAUAUUAUUUUAUUUUAUUUAACAGAGGGAAGAGAGAGGGAACAAUGUGAAAUGGGUGGGGGGGAGGGCAGAAUUACAAGCCCCCCUCACAACCCACACCACAUCAGCCAGCCACAAAACUGUUCCCGGCUAGCAGCCACUGGCAGCCCAAAAGAAUCCGACCAAGGAACCCCCUGUCUCAAUGCUCAAGUGUGCCCCCCCUCCAGCUACCUGAGCCCCACAACUGAGAGACCGCCAGGCCCCGCAUACCCCAGCCUCCCAUACCUACCAUAGCCCACCGGAUCAGCCAGGACCCAGCUCAACCCAUCACCAUCCCAACCCUACUAGGUGACGUGACUAAUCAGCUGUAACCAGGGAGAGACUGAAGCCGACAGAUUAUGUGUGUGGGAAGCGAAUAUAUCUCUAAACUUAUUUCGUAGGACAUGAGAUUUCUGUAUUGAUUAUUGCUGAGAUUAUUUUUGGAUUUCCAGUUUAGGAUGAAAGUUUUCUUUGUGAUACAUAAAGCUGUGAGAACCAUGUA
Molecule: non-coding RNA, 1116 nt
Organism: Oryzias latipes (Japanese medaka)
Lineage: Eukaryota; Metazoa; Chordata; Actinopteri; Beloniformes; Adrianichthyidae
Source: RefSeq, a predicted model, not a curated record